This 544-nucleotide ribosomal RNA is filed under the name Enterococcus faecium. Its description in RNAcentral is "bacterial SSU rRNA". It matches the Rfam family "Bacterial small subunit ribosomal RNA", at positions 77 to 600 of the family's 1533-position model. Lineage: Bacteria; Bacillati; Bacillota; Bacilli; Lactobacillales; Enterococcaceae. The record is from RNAcentral.
AGCUUGCUCCACCGGAAAAAGAGGAGUGGCGAACGGGUGAGUAACACGUGGGUAACCUGCCCAUCAGAAGGGGAUAACACUUGGAAACAGGUGCUAAUACCGUAUAACAAUCAAAACCGCAUGGUUUUGAUUUGAAAGGCGCUUUCGGGUGUCGCUGAUGGAUGGACCCGCGGUGCAUUAGCUAGUUGGUGAGGUAACGGCUCACCAAGGCCACGAUGCAUAGCCGACCUGAGAGGGUGAUCGGCCACAUUGGGACUGAGACACGGCCCAAACUCCUACGGGAGGCAGCAGUAGGGAAUCUUCGGCAAUGGACGAAAGUCUGACCGAGCAACGCCGCGUGAGUGAAGAAGGUUUUCGGAUCGUAAAACUCUGUUGUUAGAGAAGAACAAGGAUGAGAGUAACUGUUCAUCCCUUGACGGUAUCUAACCAGAAAGCCACGGCUAACUACGUGCCAGCAGCCGCGGUAAUACGUAGGUGGCAAGCGUUGUCCGGAUUUAUUGGGCGUAAAGCGAGCGCAGGCGGUUUCUUAAGUCUGAUGUGAAAG